UAUUCGAGUCUGCCUUCGACAAGGAGGGUUAAGUCGUAACAAGGUAUCUGUAGGGGAACCUGCAGAUGGAUCACCUCCU
RNAcentral lists this ribosomal RNA (79 nucleotides) under Candidatus Thalassarchaeaceae archaeon. Its description in RNAcentral is "partial 16S ribosomal RNA". It matches the Rfam family "Archaeal small subunit ribosomal RNA", at positions 1400 to 1478 of the family's 1478-position model. Lineage: Archaea; Methanobacteriati; Thermoplasmatota; Candidatus Poseidoniia; Candidatus Poseidoniales; Candidatus Thalassarchaeaceae. The record is from RNAcentral.